GACGAACGCUGGCGGCGUGCUUAACACAUGCAAGUCGAACGGAAAGGCCCUGCUUGCAGGGUACUCGAGUGGCGAACGGGUGAGUAACACGUGGGUGAUCUGCCCUGCACUUCGGGAUAAGCCUGGGAAACUGGGUCUAAUACCGGAUAGGAGCCAUUUUUAGUGUGAUGGUUGGAAAGUUUUUUCGGUGUAGGAUGAGCUCGCGGCCUAUCAGCUUGUUGGUGGGGUAAUGGCCCACCAAGGCGGCGACGGGUAGCCGGCCUGAGAGGGUGGACGGCCACAUUGGGACUGAGAUACGGCCCAGACUCCUACGGGAGGCAGCGGUGGGGAAUAUUGCACAAUGGGCGCAAGCCUGAUGCAGCGACGCCGCGUGGGGGAUGACGGCCUUCGGGCUGUAAACUCCUUUCGCUAGGGACGAAGCUUUUUGUGACGGUACCUAGAUAAGAAGCACCGGCUAACUACGUG
This 465-nucleotide ribosomal RNA is filed under the name uncultured bacterium. Its description in RNAcentral is "partial 16S ribosomal RNA". It matches the Rfam family "Bacterial small subunit ribosomal RNA", at positions 28 to 507 of the family's 1533-position model. The record is from RNAcentral.